Corticium candelabrum is the source of this 340-nucleotide long non-coding RNA. RefSeq lists it as uncharacterized. Lineage: Eukaryota; Metazoa; Porifera; Homoscleromorpha; Homosclerophorida; Plakinidae. The record is from RefSeq and is a predicted model, not a curated record. The transcript has 6 exons.
CGGUGAUGCUGGACCAAGGGGAUUGGAAGGAACAGACGGAACUCCCGGUCCUCCAGGUCAUCCUGGCUUACAAGGUCCGCCUGGACAAAGAGGUCCCAAAGGAGAACGAGGAUUUUCCGGCUUUAAAGGAGAACAAGGACCUCAGGGUAUUGCCGGUCCAGAGAUGACUGAUGCUACUCUUCAACGUUAUUUUAAGCCCGUUGCAAGUUUGCAAAAAGAGGUUGAAAACUUGAGAAACAAAUUUGAAACAAUCAUGCGCUCGUUUAAUGCAUGCUGUAUUGAAGAAAAACCUGCCGCUCAUCUGUACGGGAGUGGCGGGUACGUUGCUGUUUCAAGUGGU